RNAcentral lists this small RNA (121 nucleotides) under Aequorivita ciconiae. RNAcentral's name for it is "Aequorivita sp. H23M31 6S-Flavo RNA". It matches the Rfam family "6S-Flavo RNA". Lineage: Bacteria; Pseudomonadati; Bacteroidota; Flavobacteriia; Flavobacteriales; Flavobacteriaceae. The record is from Rfam by way of RNAcentral.
ACUCAACAUUACUUCUUUAAAAAGGGUGAGUUUAAGUUGUAAAAGCGUGCCGUUGCCGAUACUCUCGGAUAGACGGAUACUUGACCAGCUUGUUAACCCUAAACUUGUUUUUAGGGAGUUU